UGAAUAGUAUUUAAAAAAUAUAAAAUCUAAUUUGCAUUUAGAAAUUGCUAUAGCCUAUUCCA
This 62-nucleotide transfer RNA is filed under the name Argas sp. SpringbokSA-QMS95171. Its description in RNAcentral is "tRNA-Ala". Lineage: Eukaryota; Metazoa; Arthropoda; Arachnida; Ixodida; Argasidae. The record is from RNAcentral.